GGCAACCCUGACGGAGCAACGCCGCGUGUGGGAAGAAGGCUCUUGGGCUGUCAACCACUUUUCUCAGGGAAGAAGCUCUGACGGUACCUGAGGAAUCAGCAUCGGCUAACUCCGUGCCAGCAGCCGCGGUAAGACGGAGGAUGCAAGCGUUAUCCGGAAUUAUUGGGCGUAAAGCGUCCGUAGGCAGUUUAUCAAGUCUGCCGUUAAAGACUGCAGCUUAACUGUGGGCGAGCGGUGGAAACUGAUGAACUAGAGUACGGUAGGGGUAGAGGGAAUUCCCAGUGUAGCGGUGAAAUGCGUAGAUAUUGGGAAGAACACCAGUGGCGAAGGCGCUCUACUGGGCCGUAACUGACGCUGAGGGACGAAAGCUAGGGGAGCG
Molecule: ribosomal RNA, 379 nt
Filed under: uncultured cyanobacterium
Lineage: Bacteria; Bacillati; Cyanobacteriota
Description: bacterial SSU rRNA
Rfam family: Bacterial small subunit ribosomal RNA
Source: RNAcentral